CCUACGGGAGGCAGCCGUGGGGAAUAUUGCACAAUGGGGGAAACCCUGAUGCAGCGACGCCGCGUGAGUGAAGACGUAUCUCGGUACGUAAAGCUCUCUCAGCAGGGAAGACAAUGACGGUACCUGACUAAGAAGCCCCGGCUAACUACGUGCCAGCAGCCGCGGUAAUACGUAGGGGGCAAGCGUUAUCCGGCUUUACUGGGUGUAAAGGGAGCGUAGACGGCAGCACAAGUCUGGAGUGAAAUCCCGGGGCUGAACCCCGGAACUGCUUUGGAAACUGUACGGCUGGAGUGCAGGAGGGGUAAGCGGAAUUCCUAGUGUAGCGGUGAAAUGCGUAGAUAUUAGGAGGAACACCAGUGGCGAAGGCGGCUUACUGGACUGUAACUGACGUUGAGGCUCGAAAGCGUGGGGAGCAAACAGGAUUAGAUACCCGGGUAGUC
RNAcentral lists this ribosomal RNA (440 nucleotides) under uncultured bacterium. RNAcentral describes it as "partial 16S ribosomal RNA". It matches the Rfam family "Bacterial small subunit ribosomal RNA", at positions 338 to 795 of the family's 1533-position model. The record is from RNAcentral.